This 253-nucleotide ribosomal RNA is filed under the name uncultured bacterium. RNAcentral describes it as "partial 16S ribosomal RNA". It matches the Rfam family "Bacterial small subunit ribosomal RNA", at positions 524 to 776 of the family's 1533-position model. The record is from RNAcentral.
UACGGAGGGUGCAAGCGUUGUUCGGAUUUACUGGGCGUAAAGCGUCUGUAGGUGGUUUAAUAAGUCAACUGUUAAAUCUUGAGGCUCAACCUCAAAAUCGCAGUCGAAACUAUUAGGCUAGAGUAUAGUAGGGGUAAAGGGAAUUUCCAGUGGAGCGGUGAAAUGCGUAGAGAUUGGAAAGAACACCGAUGGCGAAGGCACUUUACUGGGCUAUUACUAACACUCAGAGACGAAAGCUAGGGUAGCAAAUGGG